Trichomycterus rosablanca is the source of this 1193-nucleotide long non-coding RNA. RefSeq lists it as uncharacterized. NCBI's taxonomy places the organism in Eukaryota, Metazoa, Chordata, Actinopteri, Siluriformes, Trichomycteridae. The record is from RefSeq and is a predicted model, not a curated record. The transcript is spliced from 2 exons.
ACGGCCCGCGGGACAGAUCCGGCCCGCCACGUCAUUUUAUGUGGCCCGCAAGAGCUUAAACGACUGUACGAUUGUUGUGAUGGAUCGAGUCGUUACAGAGACGCGCUUAUAAUUUAAUGGGAGUCCUGCGCCUUUAAGUGCAACUGGCGACAUCGUAGUCAUGGCAACUAACUUUGACCUCGCUAAGAAGCCAUGUGACUUUUACUGCAAAAGAACGCGAAGUAGCGUAGUCAGUAACGUAAACAAUAAUAAAUAAAUACAGAUAAUUAUCUUGCAAUAUAAUACCAAAGCAUCGUCUGCAUUCUGAUGGAAACCUGUUUACCCGCCGAGGUUAAGGAUUAAAGUCGAGACUGCCGUGACAACUAUGCUGCUCCUGCCGGAUGUGACGGGUCUGGAGUAAUUGCAUUAAGAAUGACAAGAAAUCACUACAGACUUUAUUGAAGACUAGAGCGAAGAACAACUCUAUUAUUAUUUAUCUAUUUAUCACCAGUUAUAACUUUUAGAUCAUUUAAUUCUGUGUUUGUAUGCUCUGUGUAAAUCGUGUAUUUAUUUAAAGUAUCCUCCAGGCCACCCAAGAAGGAUGGACCCUGCUGAGUCUGGUUCCUCUCAAGGUUUCUUCCUGUAAUUUUCAGGGAGUUUUUCCUUGCCACAGUCGCCCUCGGCUUGCUCAACAGGGGUUUUUUGUAUCUGUUGGUCCUGGAUUUUGUAAAGUUGCUUUGAGACAAUGUCUAUUGUAAAAAGCGCUAUAUAAAUAAAGUUGACUUGACUGUUAAAGCCUUCAUGGCUGUGUUACCUCCUAGUUCUCCCAUUUGGAUAUGCUGAAAUAUUUAGGGGUGCUGGACUCUUAUGCUAUUUACUGCAUAACUGACAUCUUAUUAUUAAUAAGUUUAUCUCACAUUUUUGCUACUUUUUAGAUGAUUGUGUCAGGAACCUUUUUACCCAUCUGAGGCUGAAGCCUGCAAGUUUGAUACUACCAUGCCAACAGUGCUGCUCCUGCUAUAUAUGAUGUAAUUCUGCCAUGUCUACACUUAAAUGUACUCACUGUUAGAGUUAACCACAGACUGGACUAAAUAAUUCUUUUAUUUUACUGGUUAUAAAUUUUGUUUUAUUAUUUUGUGUAUGUGUGGCUGAAUGAUGUAAAGUUGCUUUAAGACAAUGUCUAUUGUAAAAAGCGAUAUAAAGAUUUGACCUGA